Molecule: non-coding RNA, 616 nt
Organism: Pelobates cultripes (western spadefoot toad)
Lineage: Eukaryota; Metazoa; Chordata; Amphibia; Anura; Pelobatidae
Source: the annotation of a GenBank genome assembly
CCAUGACUAAAUCCCGUCAAAAAAAGAUGACUUUACACCUUUCCCUCAAUUUCACCAGGAAUAGUCCUUGCUUGGAACUCUGAUUAUUAAGCGGUCAAUACAUUGGCCAAUUCAUUAGACAGAAAAAUGCAGCCUUGGCCCAGUAUCUACUAGCUGUACGUUUGGGAGGUCCUCACAUGUCCAGCCUACCCCGACCCAUCACAGAACAAAAGAGGAAUCACUGUCUUCAAUGGUCUCCACGUUGGCUCCUCCAAAAUCUCCAUAUAAAAGAAAGUAAUAAUUACUGAGCUCGGAGCCGGCUUUCCAGUCAAAGAGCGUAGGUUGGGAGAUACUCUACGUGUCAGUUUGGUGUCCCCAGUGGGAGGUCCCAGCUGUCCUCUCUGUCAACUAAUACAAUGGAAAUGCUGGUGAUGAAGAAUGGGGGUGAUGGGAGGCAAAGCUUCAAAUUAACCAUGCGUGGUGUGAGAAUGAGGUCUCCUGAUCUCCUCCACUUUGUCAGAGCUUUAAAUCUGAACACUCGACAUGGCAGAAAUCACUGUAGAAAUGUAUUCAAGUCAAUUUUAAAAUGUAACGGUUUUGUUUCUGUGCCAGCGGCUGAACGUUCUCUUAACAGAAG